UACGUAGGGUGCAAGCGUUAAUCGGAAUUACUGGGCGUAAAGCGUGCGCAGGCGGUUUGUAAGUCUGUCGUGAAAUCCCCGGGCUCAACCUGGGAAUUGCGAUGGAGACUGCAAGGCUAGAAUCUGGCAGAGGGGGUAGAAUUCCACGUGUAGCAGUGAAAUGCGUAGAGAUGUGGAGGAACACCGAUGGCGAAGGCAGCCCCUGGGUCAAGAUUGACGCUCAUGCACGAAAGGCGUGGG
Molecule: ribosomal RNA, 240 nt
Filed under: uncultured bacterium
Lineage: Bacteria
Description: partial 16S ribosomal RNA
Rfam family: Bacterial small subunit ribosomal RNA
Source: RNAcentral